RNAcentral lists this ribosomal RNA (286 nucleotides) under uncultured Methyloversatilis sp. RNAcentral describes it as "partial 16S ribosomal RNA". It matches the Rfam family "Bacterial small subunit ribosomal RNA", at positions 1090 to 1382 of the family's 1533-position model. The record is from RNAcentral. Lineage: Bacteria; Pseudomonadati; Pseudomonadota; Betaproteobacteria; Nitrosomonadales; Sterolibacteriaceae.
CAACGAGCGCAACCCUUAUCAUAGUUGCUACGCUAAGGGCACUCUAAUGAGACUGCCGGUGACAAACCGGAGGAAGGUGGGGAUGACGUCAAGUCCUCAUGGCCCUUAUGGGUAGGGCUUCACACGUCAUACAAUGGUCGGUACAGAGGGUUGCCAAGCCGCGAGGCGGAGCCAAUCCCACAAAGCCGGUCGUAGUCCGGAUCGCAGUCUGCAACUCGACUGCGUGAAGUCGGAAUCGCUAGUAAUCGCGGAUCAGCAUGUCGCGGUGAAUACGUUCCCGGGUCUU